AAGUCGUAACAAGGUUUCCGUAGGUGAACCUGCGGAAGGAUCAUUAACGAAUAACUAUGGUGUCUUGGCUGUCGCUGGCUCCUCGGAGCAUUGUGCACGCCCGCCAUUUUUAUCUAUCCACCUGUGCACCGAAUGUAGGUCUGGAUGACUCUCGUCUCCGGGCGGAUGCGAGGUUUGCGUGUGCGUAGCGUGUUCGCGUUCGCGCGUUCGCGCGUUUGUGCGCGUUGCGUACGGGCUCACCUCGAAUUUCCAGACUCUACGUCUUUUUACACACCCCAAACGUAUGAUGCAGAAUGUAGUCAAUGGGCCUUUAAAAGCCUAUAAAACACUAUACAACUUUCAGCAACGGAUCUCUUGGCUCUC
Molecule: unclassified non-coding RNA, 363 nt
Filed under: Coprinellus disseminatus
Lineage: Eukaryota; Fungi; Basidiomycota; Agaricomycetes; Agaricales; Psathyrellaceae
Description: partial internal transcribed spacer region
Rfam family: Eukaryotic small subunit ribosomal RNA (bases 1-46)
Source: RNAcentral